RNAcentral lists this ribosomal RNA (468 nucleotides) under uncultured bacterium. RNAcentral's name for it is "partial 16S ribosomal RNA". It matches the Rfam family "Bacterial small subunit ribosomal RNA", at positions 28 to 507 of the family's 1533-position model. The record is from RNAcentral.
GACGAACGCUGGCGGCGUGCUUAACACAUGCAAGUCGAACGGAAAGACCCUGCUUUUGUGGGGUGCUCGAGUGGCGAACGGGUGAGUAACACGUGAGUAACCUGCCCUUGACUUUGGGAUAACUUCAGGAAACUGGGGCUAAUACCGGAUAGGAGCUCCUGCUGCAUGGUGGGGGUUGGAAAGUUUCGGCGGUUGGGGAUGGACUCGCGGCUUAUCAGCUUGUUGGUGGGGUAGUGGCUUACCAAGGCUUUGACGGGUAGCCGGCCUGAGAGGGUGACCGGCCACAUUGGGACUGAGAUAGGGCCCAGACUCGUACGGGAGGCAGCAGUGGGGAAUAUUGCACAAUGGGCGGAAGCCUGAUGCAGCAACGCCGCGUGCGGGAUGACGGCCUUCGGGUUGUAAACCGCUUUCGCCUGUGACGAAGCGUGAGUGACGGUAAUGGGUAAAGAAGCACCGGCUAACUACGUG